Hibiscus syriacus is the source of this 255-nucleotide long non-coding RNA. RefSeq lists it as uncharacterized. NCBI's taxonomy places the organism in Eukaryota, Viridiplantae, Streptophyta, Magnoliopsida, Malvales, Malvaceae. The record is from RefSeq and is a predicted model, not a curated record. The transcript has 3 exons.
UUUGUAGGAAAAUAAGGAUCUAGGGGCAGACAAUGGUUUGAUUGGUCAAUUUGGUGUUGGAUUCUAUUCUGCUUUUCUUGUUGCGGAGAAGGUAUCGGGCUGUUGUGUCCACAAAGAGCCCAAAGUCAGAGGAGCAAUAUGUUUGGGGAGCUGUUGCUGACAGUAGCUCCUAUGUGAUCAGGGAGGAAACGGAUCAGAAAAGCUUCUACCCCGUGGUACACAGAUUACACUAAUAUUUAAAGUCAGAUGACAAGU